This 402-nucleotide ribosomal RNA is filed under the name uncultured Phenylobacterium sp. Its description in RNAcentral is "bacterial SSU rRNA". It matches the Rfam family "Bacterial small subunit ribosomal RNA", at positions 355 to 774 of the family's 1533-position model. The record is from RNAcentral. Lineage: Bacteria; Pseudomonadati; Pseudomonadota; Alphaproteobacteria; Caulobacterales; Caulobacteraceae.
UAGGGAAUCUUGCGCAAUGGGCGAAAGCCUGACGCAGCCAUGCCGCGUGAAUGAUGAAGGUCUUAGGAUUGUAAAAUUCUUUCACCGGGGAAGAUAAUGACGGUACCCGGAGAAGAAGCCCCGGCUAACUUCGUGCCAGCAGCCGCGGUAAUACGAAGGGGGCUAGCGUUGCUCGGAAUUACUGGGCGUAAAGGGCGCGUAGGCGGAUACUUAAGUUAGAGGUGAAAGCCCAGGGCUCAACCCUGGAAUAGCCUUUAAUACUGGAUGUCUUGAGUUCGGGAGAGGUGAGUGGAAUGCCGAGUGUAGAGGUGAAAUUCGUAGAUAUUCGGCGGAACACCAGUGGCGAAGGCGACUCACUGGCCCGAUACUGACGCUGAGGCGCGAAAGCGUGGGGAGCAAACA